This 432-nucleotide long non-coding RNA is filed under the name Mytilus galloprovincialis (Mediterranean mussel). Lineage: Eukaryota; Metazoa; Mollusca; Bivalvia; Mytilida; Mytilidae. The record is from RNAcentral.
GCAAUAAAAGUUUUCAUGCAGCGGUGAUUGGUAAAGUGGUAUAUAAGCCGAUACAUCUAUCUCCAUGCGCUUUAAAAAGAGGAAAUUUCAUUGUAGUAAUUGCACAUGAUUUAUGAGUUAAAAUGUAGUAAUUGCACAUGAUUUGUGCGUUUAAAUGUAGGUGGGCUAUGAGAGGGAAAUUAACACCUCAAAAACUUACGGCUUAUUUAAAUAAUGACCCACAUCCGUCAAAUCCGUGAUGUUUGGAUGAAGGACCGUUAUCUAUCAUAAAGCCUCCGGGCUUUCUCAUGUUUAAUGUGAAUCUUCCAAGAAUAAACAAAUUAAAUCGACUUGAAAUAAAAAAUAGUUCAAAAUAAACAUUUAUUAAUGAAAAAGACCCACAAAGUCAUGCAAGACUUAAAUAACUGAAAAUGUCGAUCACUUAAAUCACAC